Molecule: ribosomal RNA, 497 nt
Filed under: uncultured bacterium
Lineage: Bacteria
Description: partial 16S ribosomal RNA
Rfam family: Bacterial small subunit ribosomal RNA
Source: RNAcentral
GAUGAACGCUGGCGGCGUGCCUAAUACAUGCGAGUCGAGCGAACGGACGAGAAGCUUGCUUCUCUGAUGUUAGCGGCGGACGGGUGAGUAACACGUGGAUAACCUACCUAUAAGACUGGGAUAACUUCGGGAAACCGUAGCUAAUACCGGAUAAUAUUUUGAACCGCAUGGUUCAAAAGUGAAAGACGGUCUUGCUGUCACUUAUAGAUGGAUCCGCGCUGCAUUAGCUAGUUGGUAAGGUAACGGCUUACCAAGGCAACGAUGCAUAGCCGACCUGAGAGGGUGGUCGGCCACACUGGAACUGAGACACGGUCCAGACUCCUACGGGAGGCAGCAGUAGGGAAUCUUCCGCAAUGGGCGAAAGCCUGACGGAGCAACGCCGCGUGAGUGAUGAAGGUCUUCGGAUCGUAAAACUCUGUUAUUAGGGAAGAACAUAUGUGUAAGUAACUGUGCACAUCUUGACGGUACCUAAUCAGAAAGCCACGGCUAACUACGUG